Molecule: ribosomal RNA, 521 nt
Filed under: uncultured bacterium
Lineage: Bacteria
Description: bacterial SSU rRNA
Rfam family: Archaeal small subunit ribosomal RNA
Source: RNAcentral
AACCUCCGCAAUGUGAGAAAUCGCGACGGGGGGAUCCCAAGUGCCAUUCUUAACGGGAUGGCUUUUCAUUAGUGUAAAGAGCUUUUGGAAUAAGAGCUGGGCAAGACCGGUGCCAGCCGCCGCGGUAACACCGGCAGCUCUAGUGGUAACAAUUUUUAUUGGGCCUAAAGCGUCCGUAGCCGGUUUAAUAAGUCUCUGGUGAAAUCCUGCAGCUUAACUGUGGGAAUUGCUGGAGAUACUAUUAGACUUGAGACCGGGAGAGGUUAGAGGUACUCCCAGGGUAGAGGUGAAAUUCUGUAAUCCUGGGAGGACCGCCUGUUGCGAAGGCGUCUAACUGGAACGGUUCUGACGGUGAGGGACGAAAGUUAGGGGCGCGAACCGGAUUAGAUACCCGGGUAGUCCUAGCCGUAAACGAUGCGGACUUGGUGUUGGGGUGGCUUUGAGCUGUUUCGGUGCCGUAGGGAAGCUGUUAAGUCCGCCGCCUGGGAAGUACGGUCGCAAGACUGAAACUUAAAGGAAUU